Mycena polygramma is the source of this 99-nucleotide non-coding RNA. The record is from the annotation of a GenBank genome assembly. NCBI's taxonomy places the organism in Eukaryota, Fungi, Basidiomycota, Agaricomycetes, Agaricales, Mycenaceae.
GGCUCGGUAGCGUCUGGGACGCGUCUGCGUUGUAUUAAAGGGUACCGUUAUAGCGCCUAUAUCUGUGCAGACCUGCCCGUUCGACUCGGGCCCGAGCCA